CAGAUAGUAAUUCAAAAUUUGGCCCCAUUGUACCACUAAUACAAGCUCUGCUUCUAGCCCCCUUGAUCAAGUUGAUGACAGUUUUUCACAGUGGAAACAUCCUUCUGUGCAUCGCGCUCUUUCUCAGGUUGAUCUUGCAAUUGAACUCAUAGAGGACCUCUUGGGUGUUAUUCAGAAUGCUCCCCAAUCUAUUGCUCGUGCUCGCUCUGCAUUGAAGUAUA
Long non-coding RNA from Zingiber officinale, 221 nucleotides. RefSeq lists it as uncharacterized. The transcript has 4 exons. Lineage: Eukaryota; Viridiplantae; Streptophyta; Magnoliopsida; Zingiberales; Zingiberaceae. The record is from RefSeq and is a predicted model, not a curated record.